RNAcentral lists this ribosomal RNA (245 nucleotides) under uncultured bacterium. RNAcentral describes it as "partial 16S ribosomal RNA". It matches the Rfam family "Bacterial small subunit ribosomal RNA", at positions 524 to 776 of the family's 1533-position model. The record is from RNAcentral.
UACGAAGGGGCUAGCGUUGUUCGGAUUACUGGCGUAAAGCGCACGUAGGCGGUUGUUAAGUCAGGGUGAAUCCACAGCUCAACUGUGGAACUGCCUUUGAUACUGGCAAGCUAGAGUCCGGAAGAGGUAAGUGGAACUCCUAGUGUAGAGGUGGAAUUCGUAGAUAUUAGGAAGAACACCAGUGGCGAAGGCGGCUACACUGGCCGGUACUGACGCUGAGGAGCGAAAGCGUGGGAGCGAACAGG